This 472-nucleotide ribosomal RNA is filed under the name uncultured bacterium. RNAcentral's name for it is "bacterial SSU rRNA". It matches the Rfam family "Bacterial small subunit ribosomal RNA", at positions 37 to 518 of the family's 1533-position model. The record is from RNAcentral.
UGGCGGCGUGCAUAACACAUCAAGUCGAACGGUGAAGUCCCGUUCGGGGAGUGGAGCAGUGGCGGACGGGUGAGUAACGCGUGAGCAACCUGCCGUAUAGGUGGGGAUAACACAGGAAACUUGUGCUAAUACCGCAUAACGCAUAGGGACCGCAUGAUCUUUAUGCCAAAGAUUUAUUGCUGUACGAUGGGCUCGCGUAAAAAUGAUUAGACAGUUGGCAGGGUAACGGCCUACCAAAUCAACGAUCAUUAGCCGAACUGAGAGGUUGAACGGCCACAUUGGAACUGAGAAACGGUCCAGACUCCUACGGGAGGCAGCAGUGGGGAAUAUUGGGCAAUGGGCGAAAGCCUGAACCCCCAGCGACGCCGCGUGAGGGAAGAAGGUCUUCGGAUUGUAAACCUCUUUCAGCAGGGAAGAAGUCAGUGACGGUACCUGCAGAAGAAGUCACGGCUAACUACGUGCCAGCCGCGGC